Molecule: ribosomal RNA, 168 nt
Filed under: uncultured bacterium
Lineage: Bacteria
Description: partial 16S ribosomal RNA
Rfam family: Bacterial small subunit ribosomal RNA
Source: RNAcentral
GGGCAUGCAUGGGCGCAGCUGAUGCAGCCAUGCCGCGUGUGUGAGAAGGCCUUCGGGUUGUAAAGCACUUUCAGUAGGGAGGAAGGUUCCUACGUUAAUAGCCUAUGGAUUUGACGUUACCUACAGAAGAAGCACCGGCUAACUCCGUGCCAGCAGCCGCGGUAAUAA